GGAACAUCAGACAGAGCUACAACCAGUGAGGGACAAAAGUGAGGCAGCUGCUGAAGAGGCUGAAUUGGUUUGAUCUAGAGAGGCAGUUAUGCAUAAGAGCAACCACUCUCUAUUGAAUUAGGAGAUCUCUCAUGCAACACAUCUCACCAAUUACAAGUCCCCAUUAGCCACCACCAUGGCUGGAGAAGAGUGGAUCAUCACAAAUGGUGUGACACCUGUGGUGCUAUCCCACUGUCAGUGCAGGAAAGAGCAAUAUACACAAGACAGUUCAGUUCCCAAGUCCAUCAAAAGCAGACGGCAGUUGCAUGAAGGUGCUGGCAAGUGAAAUCGAGGACCAUUAAUUAACCCAGGAGCAGAGUGAGGGGUUUCCUGUGGAAGCCAAAGGAGGGCCUCGAUCCCCUGUAACUGGAGUCCCAGAUUCAAAUCCUUGAAGAAGAGAGAACUCAUGCUGAGCCACUUGUUUUGCAUCCCAAAAAGGACUCAGGAGGACUGUACAUCUAUUUAGUGACAGAAUUUUCCAUGCUCAAUAAAUUCUGCUGCUUG
Molecule: long non-coding RNA, 543 nt
Filed under: Mus caroli (Ryukyu mouse)
Lineage: Eukaryota; Metazoa; Chordata; Mammalia; Rodentia; Muridae
Description: predicted gene 12665 (MGP_CAROLIEiJ_G0004707.1)
Source: RNAcentral